CGUGCCCGAGAGUGGGGGAGUAACGGAGCGAAAGCUUUGCUAAUACCGCAUACGAUCUACGGAUGAAAGCAGGGGACCGCAAGGCCUUGCGCUCAUGGAGCGGCCGAUGGCAGAUUAGGUAGUUGGUGGGAUAAAAGCUUACCAAGCCGACGAUCUGUAGCUGGUCUGAGAGGACGACCAGCCACACUGGGACUGAGACACGGCCCAGACUCCUACGGGAGGCAGCAGUGGGGAAUUUUGGACAAUGGGCGAAAGCCUGAUCCAGCCAUGCCGCGUGCAGGAUUAAGCCUUCGGGUUGUAAACUGCUUUGUACGGAACGUCGACGCGGCCG
This 331-nucleotide ribosomal RNA is filed under the name uncultured bacterium. RNAcentral describes it as "bacterial SSU rRNA". It matches the Rfam family "Bacterial small subunit ribosomal RNA", at positions 125 to 459 of the family's 1533-position model. The record is from RNAcentral.